UACGUAGGGUGCAGGCGUUAAUCGGAAUUACUGGGCGUAAAGCGUGCGCAGGCGGUCUCUUAAGACAGGUGUGAAAUCCCCGGGCUUAACCUGGGAACUGCGCUUGUAACUGAGAGGCUUGAGUGCGGCAGAGGGGGGUGGAAUUCCACGUGUAGCAGUGAAAUGCGUAGAGAUGUGGAGGAACACCGAUGGCGAAGGCAGCCCCCUGGGUCGACACUGACGCUCAUGCACGAAAGCGUGGGGAUCAAACAGG
This 253-nucleotide ribosomal RNA is filed under the name uncultured bacterium. RNAcentral's name for it is "partial 16S ribosomal RNA". It matches the Rfam family "Bacterial small subunit ribosomal RNA", at positions 524 to 776 of the family's 1533-position model. The record is from RNAcentral.